GAUGAACGCUGGCGGCGUGCUUAACACAUGCAAGUCGAACGAAGCACUUAUGAGUUUUCGGACAAGUAAGUGACUGAGUGGCGGACGGGUGAGUAACGCGUGGGUAACCUGGCCUAUACAGGGGGAUAACAGCUGGAAACGGCUGCUAAUACCGCAUAAGCGCACAGUGCUGCAUGGCACAGUGUGAAAAGCGCAACGGUAUAGGAUGGACCCGCGUCUGAUUAGCUAGUUGGUGAGGUAAUGGCUCACCAAGGCGACGAUCAGUAGCCGACCUGAGAGGGUGACCGGCCACAUUGGGACUGAGACACGGCCCAAACUCCUACGGGAGGCAGCAGUGGGGAAUAUUGCACAAUGGGCGAAAGCCUGAUGCAGCGACGCCGCGUGA
RNAcentral lists this ribosomal RNA (385 nucleotides) under uncultured bacterium. RNAcentral's name for it is "bacterial SSU rRNA". It matches the Rfam family "Bacterial small subunit ribosomal RNA", at positions 28 to 404 of the family's 1533-position model. The record is from RNAcentral.